GUGAUCAGGUCAAUGACCUUUAGGAUAUGGUCUUGUACGGAUGACUCUUUAGUCAUUCUAGCAUAGAAUAACUGCUUAGAUAUCAUAUAUCUAGCAGUCAUACUCUGUUCUCCAUACAACUCUUUAAGAUUUAAGAGUAUGGAUUAGAUAUCCAUGAUCUCAUACUGUCUCUGUAAUUCAUUACUCAUAGAGGCUAGUAUGAUGC
Molecule: long non-coding RNA, 205 nt
Filed under: Elaeis guineensis (African oil palm)
Lineage: Eukaryota; Viridiplantae; Streptophyta; Magnoliopsida; Arecales; Arecaceae
Description: long non-coding RNA (EGUI_LNC045922)
Source: RNAcentral